ACGCUCGACACCUACGGAGGCAGCAGUAGGGAAUCUUCCACAAUGGACGCAAGUCUGAUGGAGCAACGCCGCGUGAGUGAAGAAGGUCUUCGGAUCGUAAAACUCUGCUGUUAGAGAAGAACACGAGUGAGAGUAACUGUUCAUUCGAUGACGGUAUCUAACCAGCAAGUCACGGCUAACUACGUGCCAGUAGCCGCGGUAAUCUGAGCGGGCUGGCAAGGC
This 222-nucleotide ribosomal RNA is filed under the name uncultured bacterium. RNAcentral describes it as "partial 16S ribosomal RNA". It matches the Rfam family "Bacterial small subunit ribosomal RNA", at positions 328 to 539 of the family's 1533-position model. The record is from RNAcentral.